ACAUGGGGGGCGCAAGCGUUAUUCGGAAUUAUUGGGCGUAAAGGGCGUGUAGGCGGUUUUAUCGGUCAGAUGAGAAAGCCCAGGGCUCAACCCUGGACGUGCAUUUGAAACAGUAAGACUUGAGUACGGUAGAGGAAAGCGGAAUUCCUGGUGUAGAGGUGAAAUUCGUAGAUAUCAGGAGGAACACCGAUGGCGAAGGCAGCUUUCUGGACCGAAACUGACGCUGAUGCGCGAAGGCGUGGGUAGCGAACAGGAUUAGAAACCCGAGUAGUCC
Molecule: ribosomal RNA, 274 nt
Filed under: uncultured bacterium
Lineage: Bacteria
Description: partial 16S ribosomal RNA
Rfam family: Bacterial small subunit ribosomal RNA
Source: RNAcentral